Molecule: ribosomal RNA, 499 nt
Filed under: Vibrio sp.
Lineage: Bacteria; Pseudomonadati; Pseudomonadota; Gammaproteobacteria; Vibrionales; Vibrionaceae
Description: bacterial SSU rRNA
Rfam family: Bacterial small subunit ribosomal RNA
Source: RNAcentral
UUCGGGGAACGAUAACGGCGUCGAGCGGCGGACGGGUGAGUAAUGCCUAGGAAAUUGCCUUGAUGUGGGGGAUAACCAUUGGAAACGAUGGCUAAUACCGCAUAAUGCCUACGGGCCAAAGAGGGGGACCUUCGGGCCUCUCGCGUCAAGAUAUGCCUAGGUGGGAUUAGCUAGUUGGUGAGGUAAUGGCUCACCAAGGCGACGAUCCCUAGCUGGUCUGAGAGGAUGAUCAGCCACACUGGAACUGAGACACGGUCCAGACUCCUACGGGAGGCAGCAGUGGGGAAUAUUGCACAAUGGGCGCAAGCCUGAUGCAGCCAUGCCGCGUGUAUGAAGAAGGCCUUCGGGUUGUAAAGUACUUUCAGCAGUGAGGAAGGGGGUGUCGUUAAUAGCGGCAUCUCUUGACGUUAGCUGCAGAAGAAGCACCGGCUAACUCCGUGCCAGCAGCCGCGGUAAUACGGAGGGUGCGAGCGUUAAUCGGAAUUACUGGGCGUAAAGC